RNAcentral lists this long non-coding RNA (4998 nucleotides) under Daucus carota (carrot). RNAcentral's name for it is "long non-coding RNA (DCAR_LNC003201)". The record is from RNAcentral. Lineage: Eukaryota; Viridiplantae; Streptophyta; Magnoliopsida; Apiales; Apiaceae.
UGCAUUAUAAAAUCUUUCACCAAAUAUUCAAGGUCAAUAAACCACUCCAUAAUCCAUAUACUCCGUGGUUAAGAAAGAUCAAAGUCAACCAUCCAGUGCUACACAAGGGGCACCAUUUCUUGACUGCUGACCCUUUCAUUUCAAAGGAAACAAAGAGGCUAUUAAGAAAGACAAUUUGUGAUAUAUAUUACUCACACCUGCACACUUGGCACACAUAUUGUACAAACUAACAAAUGCAAACAGUUUCCUCCAAGAAAAUGAUGGGAAGGCUUCAAACUCCUGCAAAUGUAUCAUCAGUUACUGAUCAUUACAAGGCGGAGAGGUUUCAUGAUCAGAGAAAGCAUUCGAUGGGAGCACCAAGGCGCCAUCAACACACAAGUCUGCGGUCCAUGACUCUCCACAACCACCGUGAGGUGCCACCUAGGGAUAAAUUGAGAGGGCGUAGAGCGGGGAAAGAGGUGGCAAGAAGGGCACUGAUGCCACCAAUCAGGAAGCUCAACAUGAGGUGGCGGAACUUCCAGCCAACCCCCAGUCGCCUUUCUAAUAUGUCCAUGACUUGAAUUUGAUCUCGUCUCUAAGGUAGAUUGUUUCAGAUAAUUUUUGAUGAUUUGAAUCUCAUGUAAAUACAAUGAUGUGAUCUUGCAUAUCAUCAGCAGUCAUGCUUAUUUUUAAGCUUCUAAAUCUCAGGAGUCAACUGUAUUUCGCUUUUGUUCAAGCUCAACCUAUUUUGUGCCUCUGUAGGGAUGACUUGCUUGUUUAAUUUUUCCUACAAUAAUAUUUCUGGGAAAUCCGUAUUUCAAUUUAAAGAUUGUUAUCUACUCGGUACUAAGAAACCCUAGAAGGACAGGCUAUAAAUAUUAGACAAUGCUGCGGAGAACCUCAAACUUAAUACAAAUAUUUCAUAUUAUUUAGCAAUCACAAGUUUAUAGCAGUAAAGUCAUCAAGAGCAGUAUCUUGUUAGAUCCUCCGAAAAAAUGGCUAAGCAUAAAAAUAGCAAGGACUCAAUAUAUCACCAACUUAGUGCAGCUGCACGAUUGUUUUUUUACCUCUGUAAUAGUAUGAUUUCCUGGAAAAAAGUUGAGCAAGAGAGAAACAGAGCUUGACAGUCUAAGAGCAAUGGACAAUUGUGCUGAUGUCUCUUUAGAUGUAGAGAGAAUUGAAAAAAUUAAGAGAACCCUGUCCACAUGGCCGCAGAAUCAACUUUCUGGCAAUACGAGAUGGUCAAGUCCUUCCACUAGCUUUGCAGAUUGGAUCACAUCACCACUUUUGAUCUCAGAAAGGAUGUCUUUCCCAGCAACUGUGUAGCUGAAUAAAGAAAUAAUUGCUAAAAAGUGGUUUAAAAGUAGGCAAAAUUAAAGAGGCCGCUCAAUUAUGGCUUAACUACGAGAAAAUCAAUUGAUAAUGCAGAGCAAACGCUGGGGGAUUUCAUGACUUACCCAAACACAGAAAAUUGGCCCUCGUCAAAAGAGAGUCCUCCUAAGCCAGACUGUUUCAUACAAAUGCUAGUUUAGAACAGUUACGUGGUCAAAAGUGUAGCAUACAUUUAAGAUGGACCAUGUAUAUCUAUGGUUCACUUCAGAAGUACAGUACAUUAAAAUAAAUUAAAAAUAUUUUGUCUGAUGAUACUCACAAAACUCUUAUCAUAGCGAUAGAAGAAGAAUUGAUUUGGUGAGGAAUACUCAUCAGAAACAUCACUAUGAGCCAUCACAACCGCACCAUAAACUGAAAGUGGCAGCACAGGUAACUCCCCAUCCUUAAAGAAAAACAAAUAGUUAUCCGAAUUAGUAUAAUGUUAUCCUUCUCUGGAAAGUGGCACCAAGAAUCAUUAUACCUGGACGCUUAAAGUUGUUUUGUAAAGUGGCUCAAAUUGUCCUGCUGGCAUAAUCUCUAACGGAGCACUGUAACCAAUAUUUUUGUCUAGCUCGCUAUCAGAUAAUAUUGCUUGAUCAGUAGAUUUAAGCUUCCCCCCAUCGUAUGCCCCAUCAACUACCUAAACCACAAUUGAGUAACUGUUGAUUAGUCAGCAAGUAUCUGCCACCAACCGUAUCCUCGUAGUCAAAUAAAGGGACCUGAUUGCUGAAAUAUUGGAAGAUUAGAUUGUGCACGAGACUACAGCAUACAGUUUAGGAAUUCUUAUCGUCCAGUUCACAUGAAGGAGGUUUAUCUUGAGCUUUAUGAUUUCUGGUUGUACAAGAGAGUUCCAGACAACUAUGUCAUUGACAUAUCAGAAAAAUUAAAUACCUAUACAAUACUCUGGCCAGAGGAAUUAGGGUGAAAGAUCUAAGCAAAUAAUUACAAUACCACACAUCUAAAGAAGGGUCAAGUGUGAGGAAGCCACUAUAUUUGGGCCCGGAGGUAAUCUGUUGACCAUCUGUAAAACAGUUAUAGUGGAUGUAUACAGAUUAAUUAUAUAAAAAAUCGACAAGGAUGAAGUAAGAACUUACUACCUUACCAGUUUGGCAAAGUUCCCCGCUGUAAGUGGUGCUGAAUAUCCAUCUAUAACGACCUGAAGGCAGGUAUAGUAUCAGUAAGUGUACAAAUAUCCUCCAGUGCUGGCAUAACCUUUCUCAUCAUUAUUAUAUUUUAAUAAUAGAGAUAUCAUCCUCGCCGUUUCCUCUUAAACAACAUGGUUCACUGGACGGACAUUAUGCUUGGUACAAUGACAAGUAUUGCAAUCGUGACAUAUAUUGAUUUUAACGAAGGAAGAUUCUUUAAACCUGAAUUUUGGCAGUCUUCCGUAAUUCACCGCCAGCUGGUGAAAAUGUCGAACCAUCUGCUUUUGCAAUUACAAAUUCAACGGUUCCUCUUCCUGUAAACCUGUAAAUUCAAUAAAUAUCAGCACCCAAUAUAUAAAUGAGGUUUUUGCUUCUAACGUCAACUCCAAAAGCACAAUCGGUGGCAUAGAGUGACGAUAUCAUCACUGGCUCACAGCGCUAGGAAGUCAGAGUACAAAUCACCUGCACUUCCCGAACCUAGCCUUUAGUACCAUGUUCAAAUAUUUGGAGUUACCAGACAAUCAUAAUUAGUUGAUUACAACAGAAGGAAGAGAUUAAUAGAUUUUAUACAUUAAUACUGAUCCCCAUCUCUAAACCUCUAGAAGGAAGUAGGAGAAAGCUUACAUUUGAAUAAUUUUUUUUUAAGGAGCACAGAAUAUGAUUUAUUUUGUGUUUGAAUCUGCUAAGGUCUGGGUUUUUUUUUUUAAUUUCCCAUCCAUUGCCUUUGCCCCAGAAGAUUAUAAAAAAGAAAACAAACAGAACCUGGGGAGGGGGGGUGGUUGUAUCAAGUACAAAUCUUUAAACACCUUUACCUUGGAUAUUUCAAGUACUGCGCCGGCAACAAAAAUGACAGUCCCGGAGCCUGUGAAAACCAAAAUCUUUUGCGAUAAGUAAAUAUUUAAGGGUAUAAAUAUGUGUGAAUCCAUCAAGUUCUAAUGGAUUUUGAAGAUAUGAACAAGUAGCCUGAAGAACAUUCAUUUAUUACACAGAGAUCUGAAACUAAAAUGAAAUAAUUGUCUUAUAGUUUUCACUUGCUCUGUAUGUCCAUUACUCUAUUACAUAUACAGUUAUACACAAUACGUACAUCUUACUGAGUAACUGACUGAAGCACUACUAAAUAGUGCCAGGAUGUUAAUAACAGCUCAGCCUCUAUUCAGACUAACAUAUACAAUUUAUUUAAACAUUCACAUCAGGUAACAAUAUGACUAGUAUAAAACACUAAAAGCUCCUUGUGUCAUUGCCACUAAUGUAAAGCAGCUCUAAGGCCAUUAGAAUAUAUAUAAGAACUAAAGAAUCUGAAUUUAGAUAUAGGAGAUCUAGAACAGCAGUGCCCGACAUCUUUAAACCAGAGCUACAUCAAAUUCACCUUACAAUCUUAAGCAACUCGAGGGUCCUUAAUAUGUCUAUUCAAAAUUGCGGACAAUCCAGUAUCUAUUGAAAUAUCAUAAUCACCUGUAACAACUCCAGUUCUGCAACAGUGUCCAGUGAAGAUGCUAGACCUACCGAUACUCGAUCUGGAUCUUUAUCUUUUAUAUAUCCAAGAAGGCUUUGCAAUCCACCCUGAACAAGGAAGACAAGUUAAAAUAUUUUUCCCUGCUUAUUAACUAAGAAAUUUAAGUUAACCGAACUGUUUUCCCUCACAGAAGUUAUAAGAUGAUGAAAUCUUAAAUCUUAUAAAGCCAAAGUGUAGAGAUACUGGUUUUUAGUUGUUUCAUGAGGAGAACAAAAGUAACCAAGACUCCUUUGCUAAUUAUGUGGCAGAGAACCAUUAGUUCCAUUGUGAUUAAAAACACUAAGAUUUAUCAUACAAAACUAAUUUAAAGAAUAAAAAAAUAACCCGCUUCAUCUAGCUUCUCCUAAGGGGAUCUUUAUGAUUUAAAAUUAAAGGUUCCAAACUUUAGGAGAAUAUCCCUUUUUUCUAUGAAAUACCUUCCCCUCUACCAGAGAUGUGUACAACUCCAAACCCUUAUCCUUGAAAUCAGCCGGAACACUAGCCAAAAUGGAUUCUUUUUCAUCCUUUGCAAUCUGACAUAAAAAGAGGCAAGAUGAAUAAAACAAAUAAGGAUCACUGACCCAGCUUAUAUGUUGGCUACAUUAGCAGAAGCAGAAUUCCUGUAGUGCAUCUGGUUCCAAAUUAAAAUAAAUAUCAAUUUCUUGUUUAAAUCGGUUUUUAAAGUUCGGGUAUGCUUUAUUUAAGGCAUUCCAACCAAUUAUAAUACGUUUCUUUACCAUAAGUUAGAAAUCCGAAGUUGGAGUACCUUUAAAGCUUUUUUUACAUUACCCUCCAUUGUUCCAAAUGGCUUCCUCUGUGGUAUUCUCAGCAAAUAAGAGAUGUCCUCUAAGGAAUCCUAGAAAAAUAAGGGAAUGUUCACAAUAUUUCAAAUGUAAUGACUUGAAAUUUUGUACCUAAUUUUUUUACUCACCUGUAUUGUCUUCAUGUUGGUGUUUGCAGGGAUAGCCUUUCUUAAAGCUAGUUCCCCAGUUCUAGGGAGUUUGGUCUCCG